Molecule: microRNA, 20 nt
Filed under: Gossypium raimondii (Peruvian cotton)
Lineage: Eukaryota; Viridiplantae; Streptophyta; Magnoliopsida; Malvales; Malvaceae
Description: gra-miR7494d
Source: miRBase by way of RNAcentral
UCAUGGACUUUAGCGGCGUU